AAACAAUAGCAUUUCAUGCAUUUUGAUUUCGACCCAAAAAGAGGAGACAAUCCAUUGUUUA
Molecule: transfer RNA, 61 nt
Filed under: Mooreobdella quaternaria
Lineage: Eukaryota; Metazoa; Annelida; Clitellata; Hirudinida; Erpobdellidae
Description: tRNA-Arg
Source: RNAcentral